UGUUAAGGAAGGAAAGAGAGAACUGUUGCAUCCCAUCUGUUGGCUGAUAGCUCUUGGAGGUUUCUGUCCAGAAACCCUUGGAAAAUGGGUUUAGUGACUGGAGCCUGCCCUCUUCAGCUGUUGCUUCAGAGAACUAGUUUCAUGAAGUCAGGAUAACAUACAUAACAGAACAAGCCAUGGAGCCAUACCUAACAUUUCCUGGGCUUAGAUCCACUCUGAUAAGAUACAGACUCAAUAACCUGUGGGACAAAACUAUGGCCAUGUUGACUUUAGAGGCAGCUGCUCUUACCAAGAAUGUUGUGUUGCAUCGAAGUUUUUCGACCAGUAUACUCUUCCCCUUCUUGCACUUCUUUUUCGUUUUAUUUGAGCCUUGAAUGAUCAGCUGUAACAACCUUACUUUAAGCUCUGGUUGUGUGACCAAUCCCUGCACAUUUCAUGUGUCUGAUUAUUUCUUUGGUCUUGACUAAUUCACUUUUGCACGUCUUCAUCAGUCACCCUCUGAAACCAAUAAAUUCUUAGCCUCCUGCAAAAAAUCCAUCUAUGAGGGGGACAUGUAUAUAAUUAGAUAUGGCAAGGUUUCUCUUUGGAAUAUUUGAUCCCAAGGGAAAGGGGGUACCAAAACUGUGGGAACAAAGUAACUGGCCCAAUUCAUCCAUCCCUACAAUUUUGCAAAAGACAGGUUCCCAUGUAGGUAAUCUACAUUUCUGA
Pogona vitticeps (central bearded dragon) is the source of this 708-nucleotide non-coding RNA. Lineage: Eukaryota; Metazoa; Chordata; Lepidosauria; Squamata; Agamidae. The record is from RefSeq and is a predicted model, not a curated record.